RNAcentral lists this ribosomal RNA (484 nucleotides) under uncultured bacterium. RNAcentral describes it as "partial 16S ribosomal RNA". It matches the Rfam family "Bacterial small subunit ribosomal RNA", at positions 30 to 507 of the family's 1533-position model. The record is from RNAcentral.
AUUGAACGCUGGCGGCAGGCCUAACACAUGCAAGUCGAGCGGAUGAAGGGAGCUUACUCCUGGAUUCAGCGGCGGACGGGUGAGUAAUGCCUAGGAAUCUGCCUGGUAGUGGGGGAUAACGUCCGGAAACGGGCGCUAAUACCGCAUACGUCCUGAGGGAGAAAGUGGGGGAUCUUCGGACCUCACGCUAUCAGAUGAGCCUAGGUCGGAUUAGCUAGUUGGUGGGGUAAAGGCCUACCAAGGCGACGAUCCGUAACUGGUCUGAGAGGAUGAUCAGUCACACUGGAACUGAGACACGGUCCAGACUCCUACGGGAGGCAGCAGUGGGGAAUAUUGGACAAUGGGCGAGAGCCUGAUCCAGCCAUGCCGCGUGUGUGAAGAAGGUCUUCGGAUUGUAAAGCACUUUAAGUUGGGAGGAAGGGCAGUAAGUUAAUACCUUGCUGUUUUGACGUUACCAACAGAAUAAGCACCGGCUAACUUCGUG